This 253-nucleotide ribosomal RNA is filed under the name uncultured bacterium. RNAcentral describes it as "partial 16S ribosomal RNA". It matches the Rfam family "Bacterial small subunit ribosomal RNA", at positions 524 to 776 of the family's 1533-position model. The record is from RNAcentral.
UACGAAGGGGGCUAGCGUUGUUCGGAAUUACUGGGCGUAAAGCGCACGUAGGCGGGCAUUUAAGUCAGGGGUGAAAUCCCAGAGCUCAACUCUGGAACUGCCUUUGAUACUGGGUGUCUUGAGUAUGGAAGAGGUAAGUGGAAUUGCGAGUGUAGAGGUGAAAUUCGUAGAUAUUCGCAGGAACACCAGUGGCGAAGGCGGCUUACUGGUCCAUUACUGACGCUGAGGUGCGAAAGCGUGGGGAGCAAACAGG